RNAcentral lists this unclassified non-coding RNA (304 nucleotides) under uncultured fungus. RNAcentral's name for it is "partial contains small subunit ribosomal RNA, internal transcribed spacer 1, and 5.8S ribosomal RNA". The stretch from base 1 to 73 matches the Rfam family "Eukaryotic small subunit ribosomal RNA", at positions 1759 to 1831 of the family's 1831-position model. The record is from RNAcentral. Lineage: Eukaryota; Fungi.
GCAAACUUGGUCAUUUAGAGGAAGUAAAAGUCGUAACAAGGUUUCCGUAGGUGAACCUGCGGAAGGAUCAUUAAAGAGUUUUUUUCGAUUUUUUAAUUAAAAUUGAAAAACUUCCUAUCACUUGUUUAAUUAAAACAAAAUUUUCGUUGCUUCGGCAUGUUUUAUUUUAUUGAUAUGUCGAUAGCUAUUUUUAAAUUCGAUUUUAUUUUUGAUGUCUAAAGAUUUUUGAAAAUUGUUAAAAACAAUUGAAUUAAAAACUUUCAACAACGGAUCUCUUGGUUCUGGCAUCGAUGAAGAACGCAGC